AAAGAAUCGAUCUCGGUUAGAAAUCAUCAGAAUCCCCAACAAGAAACAAAUGAAACCUACUAACCCUCUCAUUCAACAAAAUUUGUAAACCCAUAAUACGUAUGACAUUCCCAGCAAAAGAAUACUGAAAUAGAAAGAAAAGUGUAGAGAAGGCAAAUCCCAAAUUAAAUUUUUAGCAUCAAUUUGCAUUUGGGUGGCCAGUCAAAGAAAAGCGUUUGACCACAUCUCAAUGACAUUUUUCCACUCUAUUUUCAUCUGGUUACAGCUACUCCAUAAUAAAGAAUAAAAAAUUGAUUCAUAUAAGCUUGUACAAUAGUACACGAUCUAUUUAUAGUUUAUUUACACAUACAGAUUUGAGUCCUCUUUAUGAUUGAAAAAUAUGAAUAAUAACCAAAACAGUUCACCAUACCGAGUUCCACUCGAGAAAAUAUGAGAUACCAAAUGAAACAACUUAUAGUAGAUUUAUACCUUUUGAUCGCUCCAUAGCCAUGACUACCAACAACCAAUAUGGAGGCAUGAUGCUUCUCUACAGCCUCACAGAGGAUAUUUCGAGCAUCUCCUUCCACCACCUCAACAACAAAGUCAUGCACCUAAACAAAACAGAACUACUAAUUUACAGAAAUGAUACCAGAAGGGAAACAAUUGUUAAGUAUACGUAUUAUAAUCUGGUAUACUAAAAUUGGGGAAAGAUAAAAGGAUAAGCGUGAAUACUUACAACUCAGAUCCACCAAUUUAGAAAGGUUAAUUUUGGAUUAUCGAUCACAAAAUAACAGUUCUCGAAGUACCUCUAAACUAUUCUAAACCUUAACUUACCUCAGUUUGGGUUCAAAAAAUUAAAUAAAAAUUGAGAGUGCAUUGAUGAAAAAUUUUUCAUCUUCUUAACAUAAAUUAGGGAAAGUUGAUGUUUAUAAGAGUAUUUUGAAGAUUAUCAUUUCACGAGUGGGGCAAUCUAAAGAUUUUUAAACUGUACUACAAACGUGUAUCUGUAUAUAGAAUCUCAGACGAUCCCAAGAUUGUAAUUUAUUUAUAGAUUGUAAUAUCAUUAAAAAGAAAUAACAAACUAAUCAUUACCGAUUUACUGCUACAGAUUUCUUUAGCCUCCUCCACAACCCUUGCAGCAAUCUUCUUGAAAUCUGAGUCCACAUGAGGCAAAACCUCGACAGCUCCUGCGAUAAAUUAAAACUAAAAACCAGUUACUUGAUCACCAAGAAAGAAAGACAAAACAAACAAAUUAAAAUCGCAAACUAAAAUCGAACAAAGGACAACAAAAUCUAUUACUUAAUUUUUAAAACAUGCAAAGCAAGGACAAAUGCCAAAGGAUUAAUUAGUUAGAUUUAUAAUUACUUUACCAGGUCCAGCGAGGCCAAUAACAGCUGAAGGGGAAGGUCUGGCGUGAACGAUGACGAGUUUGAAAGGAGGAUUUACAGUCGAAUUUGCGAAGAAAUGAUCGAGCGUCCAUUGAAGCGCGUACGUGCUCUGCUCGCUAUCGUCGAUCCCUACCACCAUCGUUUGUGUCUCCGCCGUCGCCAUUGAGACGAUGUCUACUCAACUUUUUUUUUUUUCCUUUUUAGCUGUGUGUUAUUCAGAAAGUUGCAGAGUUUGUUCGAUUUCUAAUCUAUAUAUAAGCGAAUAAAUCUAAGAGACAGCGAAAUGAUCAUACUUUUUAUCUAGAUAAGAUGAGAACGUAGCAAGUAAAGGAGGUUGCGGGCGAUUGGCGGAAAGUGCUUUAAUGAGUCUGGCGUUUAAUUUUGAAAAGUUAGAAAAAAUUAAUUUUAGUAUUUAUUUUUUAGGGUUAUAAAUUAAUUUUAAAAUAUUAAAAUUUAAUUUUAAUAUUUGGUAAAUUAUUUUUAGAAAAAUCACUUUAUUUUAUAGUGGAUUUUCAGAAGUAUGGAAUGAGUAAUUUUUUAAAAUUUAAUUUUGAGAAUUAAUUUUACAUCUAAUGCUUUCACUCACACACAGAUAAAAAGUAAAAAUGUAAAAUUAAUCUUAUUAAUUAGAAAAUAAAAUCAUUAAAUUUAAAUAUAUUAUUAUUAUUAUUAUUAUUACUAUUUAUAUUGUGAUAACAAAAUAAAAAAUAAACUACUAGUAUAAAAUAUUUAUUUUAAUUAUUAAUUAUUUUCUAUGCACAUAAAAAUUAUUUUAUAAAUAUGUUUAUAAAUAUCUAAAUAAAUUUUACUUAACGUUUAUUUAAUUCAGUUAUUUAUAUUCUUAUAAUAAAUAAAAUUUACCAAAUGCAUACAAUUACUUUUCAAACUCACAGCAAUUUUAGAAAUAAAUUUUAUGAAAUAUUUAAUUAACUUUAUUCGUAGCUGAUUAUUUUUAUAUCGUAGUUAACAAUAAUUAUUUUAAAACCUUAGUAUUAUCAAAUUGGCCUUAAAACUCAAACCUUUUUUCUGGAUGUUUUUGUAGUUUUGUUAUCAACUUAUCAGAUAGGGAAUGUUUUAUUGUAAUUUUACAACCCAUCCCAUAUUAACAUGGGCCAGGUCCAGUUCGAGGUAUCAAACCCAGCAACCUACAACCAAUAAUUUUUAAGAAAAAUUAUCCACCGUCCACCUGUUUUUUCACCAUUUUUUAAAAAUACACAAAUCUUUUUUUUUUUUUUUUUUUUGCAGUGCUCCACCUAAAGUUAACAUUUUUUUCAUUGAUUCACUCUCGUUAUUAUUAACAUUUAUGUAUCCACAAUAUUGAUUUUGAUGAUAACAAACAAAAUUAAGAGUGAUUAACCUUUUAAAAGAGGAAUCAAUUUGUGGAAUCAUUCUUUAAAUACAUGUAAAGUUUGUCAUCAUCAAAAAAGGGGAGAUUGUUAAUAUUUAUGUUAUUAUGUAUCCAUAAUAUUGAUUUUGAUGAUAACAAACAAAAUUAAGAAUGAUUAACCUUUUAAAAGCACAAGUUAUUUUUUAUGCUUUUUAAAUAAAUCAUUAUCUUCAUAUUAUAAAGGUUUUAUAUUUAAUGAAAAAUGAUUUUAUGAAAUUGGUUGUUUUUCAAGUUUAUGGUCUAAUUGAAAGUAUUACUUGAAAUUACGAAAAUAGACUUGUUUGAAAAGUUUCAUAAAGUUUUGGGCCAUAGUUUUAUUAUUGAAAGUUUUGGGGUAAAAUUAUAAUUUUAGAAAAUAGUUAAUUGUAGCAGUCACUGUAGCAAAUGGCUAACCGACAUCUUGAUGAUGGCUAGCCAAUAUCAAGUAGAAUUGAAGAGUUGCCUCUGGACACUAACGGCCGACAACUUGAAAAUUAUGUCCAACGGUAACUUGGACUAGUCAAAACAGCGAUCCAACUUCGAGUUAACGGCGAUCCAACUUCGAACAAAAAGUCAAUAACGGCUAGUUUUCAGCUCCAACUAUAAAUAAAAUCAAUCAAAUUCAAAUAAGGAUGGAUCACAACAUUAUCAUUGAGCUUGUAAUCGAGAAUACAACAUUCAUUAAGCUUUAAAUUCGUUCUUGAUUUAUUUGUUCACACAUUGAGUAUAGAUUUGUAAUCAUAUAUUUUGUGUGAGAGAAAAACACAUUUGUAAUCUUUGUUUUGAGUGAUUUUAAGUGUUGGGAUACACUUGGGUUAAGAGAUUGGGGAUAAUCUCUUGGUGUAAAGGUUGAUUGACAUAUGUGAAGUCAAUUAUAAGUAUUCUUGAAGCCUUGGGAGGCUUGGAUAGUGAAAUCCUUAAGCCAGGUGACCUUGGAGGCAUGGAUGUGGGCAGGGAUUGCCGAACCACGUAAAAAUCAUUGUGUUUGCUCUUUGUUCCCUUACUCUUUUAUUAUUAUGCUUUAUUAAAUUUAUUGUUUUUGAUUUCAUUAGUGGUGUGUUUGGCACACUGUAUUGUAUUAUGUUGUAUUGUAUUAUUUUAAUACUGGUGUAUUGUAUUUGCUGUAUUGCAUUAGCACUGUAUUAUAAUAAUGUUGUACAAUGGUUGGUGCUACACUGUACUGUAUUGAUUUUUUAAUUAAUUUAAUUUAAAUAUUAUAUUAUAUUAAUGUUUUAUAUUAUAUUAAUAUAUUUAAAUUGUAUUAAUAUUUUAUGUUAUUAUUUAUAUUAUUAUUAAUUUUAAAUUAAUAUUAUUCAAAUUUAAAUAUUUUUAUUAGUUAUAAUAAGUUAUAAAUUUAUUAAUAAAUAAUAAUGUAAAAAUAAAAAAUAAUAUACUAUUAUUGAAUGAUAAAUUAUUUAUUUAUUAAUUUCUAUUAAUAAUUUUAAUGUAAAAACAAAAUUAAUAAAAAUAUUAUAUUAAAUUAAAACUAUAUUUAUUUAUUAAUUAUUUUAGUAGUAUAAUAAUAAUAAAGUAAAAAGAAAAGUCAAAGGAAAAAGAAGAAAAAAAAAAGCAAAGCUAAUGCGUCAGUGACGCAUUAGCCCCCUACCUUAAUUCCUUGUAAAUUUGUUCCAAACAUGGGUUUAAUAUUAUUUUAAUGUAAACAGUAUUUUAAUACCCUAUAAUACAAUGUACCAAACAUGCCCUAAGGAAAUAAAUUGAAUUGUUGUGCGAAUUGUAUCGCAUAAGUUUCAAAAUCUCAAUUCACCCCCCUCUUGGGUUGCCUAGUUAGUAUUUCAGUUAUAACACCGUUAGAACUUUGCUGACAUCAUAAGGGUAAAAUUGUCAUUUCACAACGAUACAGUAGUUGACAAAUGCAAAAUAAUAUAACUUUAAGUUGAGUUCAACAAAAAAAAAAGUAAGAAUUGUGUAUUUUUGAAACAAUACGAAAAAAAAAGGUGGUCAGUGGAUGAUUUAUCUUUUACAUUUUAGGGUAAAAAAGUCAUUUAUACAAUAUUCUGUUAAUUUUCUUAACUGUCUCCAAACGGAAGUGGAUGAGUGAAAAGAAAUGUAACUUCAGGUGGAUUUCAACAAAAAGAAAGAAGAAUUAUGUAUUUUUGAAAAAAUUAAAAAAAAAAAAGGUGGACGGUGGAUAAUUUCUCUAAUUUUUAAUUACCACGUUGAUUAGGUUAAAAAAAAAAUGUUCCCAGCUGUUGAUCACCAUUUCUUUUUUCAAUUUUUUUUCCUAUAAGGAUCAGUUUUCCCCAGUGUUAGUUUGCCUGAUGCCCAAUUAGGUGUCAAAAUACUUGAAAUCAAAACGACUUCGUUUUCAUAUUUUAAUAUAUUUAUUUUUUAUAAGUACACGUGUCUUCAUCUUAUUAAGCUCCAUUUCGGGUGUGGCUACAAUGCCGGGAGAUAAUCUUCAGGAAUGAUGCCGGAUGCCUGGUUCUCACAAAGAGACCCCAACAUUCUUUGGUUGCCAAACAAUAGCCAAUAGCCAAAGACCUAGAACAAUCCAUUUCUUUAACUGGUUGCUAUAUUUAACUAAUUAUUUAAAUUUUAAAAAACUAAAAUAGGAUAAUAUACUAAAUAAUAAAUUUUAAAAAGAUAAUAUUAAUAGAAAGGAAAAAAUAUAAAUAAAUAAAAAGUGAAAGAAAAAUAUGAUCUUAUCAAAAUCAAGAGAAAAAAAUAAAAUAAUAAAAUAAUAAAAGAUAAAAAAUUGUUUCUUAUUUUCAUGUGUAUUGUUAUUGGUCUCAAUUUUAUUAUUGUAAGUACCCCUAAAAUUUUCUUUUCUUCCCCAUUUCAUGUUUAAUAUUCAUAUUUCAUAUAUAAGAUUAACAAUUACUUAUUUAUCGUUAAAUGUUUUAUAUAUAACAGUAUCCAUGUUUAAUGUUUAACAUUGCAUAUUUUACUUGUAAUGUUUCAUAUUACAUGUUAUUAUUUUAUGUGUAAAUUUUAUGUUUCAUGUUUUACAUACAUGUUUCAUGUCUAACAUCGUCUGUCACAUGUAUCAAGUACUGUGUUACAUGUUUACUUUAUACUCAUGUUUAACUUUCAAUGUUUCAUAUCUCAUAUUAUUAUUUCACAUAUAAAUUUCGCGUUUCAUGUUUAUAUCACAUGAUGCAUAUUUGAAGUUUGGUGUUUCAUGUUAAAAAUAAUGCCAAAAUUUUUUAUUUUCUUACCUGUUUCAUGUUCAAUGUUCAUGUUUCAUGUACAACAUCGUACAUCACAUGUAUUAACUAUCAUUUGCAUGUUUACAUUGUAACCAUGUUUAGUGUCUAAUGUAUGUUUACAUUGUACUCAUGUUUAAUGUUUAAUGUUGCAUACUUAAUUUUUGUUUUUGCAUAUUUCAUGUUAUUUUUUAACAUGUAAAUUUUAUGUUUCAUGUUUACAUUACAUGUUGCAUAAGUUUAGUAUUUCACGUUUCAUGUUUGAUUUGUUUAUAGUUGAUUUAGGAAAACAAUUUGUGAUAAAGGACUCUUAUUUCUCUUAAUUUAGAAUCCUACUCUCAUCAUAAUAAGAAGUUUAUGAGUAAUACAUAUAUAUAUAAUUUCAAACCCAAAUAAUCAAUUAAUUAUAGCCAUCAAGCAAUAUCUGUUUAGAAUGUCAAAUAAAACGACAUCGAAUGGAAGUUGUCAAAGACAUGAUCCACACCGAACAGCAAUGACACGGUUGGUCAGAUGCUUCCGUAAUACGUGUAUCUAAUUUUUGAAAAAGUAUAACAUCUGUAUCUAUAAAUAUGCUCAAUGUAUAACGUUUUUACUUAAGAAAUGAAAAACACUCGUUUCUUCAUGGUAUCAGAGCCAAAUUGUGGACCUGCUUACUUGUGAUUAGCGAUGGCAAAUGGGCCAAACGACACGUGGCACAACAUGGGUACAGGCACGACACAUGUCUGUACAGCACGGCACGAUGACGAGCACGUUUCGGUGAAGCACGCAGCACAGUACGGCACGCAAGUGGGUAGGGCCAGAUUUAGAAUUUUAGGCAUGUAAGCCUUAAAAGCACGACGCGAUGAAAAAGUCUGCAAUAAGCACAUUUUAUUUUUUAAUGAAAGUACUUAAAAUUUUAUAAUUUUAUAAAUAACUUGAAAUUAAAAUUUUAAAUUCAUUUAAUUAUUAGUUUAAAAAAUAAUAUAAUUGAUUUAUAUUUAUAAUUUAUUAAAUAAAUAAUUGAUAUCAUGAUUUUAAUGAACACAAUUAUAAAUAUCAUGAUUUUAUAAACAUUCAUAAAUUUUAUUGUGAACUAUGAUAUAUGAAUAAGUCCAAGUUAACAAUUAAGUUAACUCUUAAGAAAAAUUUAUUAUUAUUGUUGUUGUUGUUGUUGUUAAGUAUUAAAAAAAUUCUAAUAUUAUAACGUCGAACUUAGUAAUUACUAUUAGAUUUUCUUACUAUUAUUAGUUUAUUUCUAUUGAAUAUGGACUUGAGUUUUAAGUUUUUGAUUCCAUUAAAUUUGAAUAAAGGCAUAGACAUAAAAUAAGUACAUGACUGGAAAAAAGUACGCCAACAAUUUAACAUUCGCUCUUAAAAAAUUAAAAAAAUGAAAAAAAAAACUAAUUGAGCUUUUUUUUUCUUAGGCACGGCAGGACACAAGCCACGGCACGACAUGUGUGGGCACAACACAUGGCCUAAUAAAAAAAAAUUGGGCACUGUAUGGCACGACACAAAAUACAUCAUGGACGCGAGCACGCAUGAGCCUUUCUUUGUGCGGGCCUGACCGGCACAGCUCAUUGGCCAUCUCUACUUGUGAUGCAGCUAUCUAGAAUACAACCAGAUAAAUUAAUAGCAAGGAUCCUAAAAAAUUUAUUAAUUCAACAAUUAUUAAUUAUCAUUAAAUUAAUAAAUUAUUAAUUUAUGAAUAAUUUUCUUAUUUUAAAAAAAUGAUCACGUUCACAAUAGUUCUUCUUCUUUUUUUCAGAGAACCGAAAACAGUAAUUAAUGAGUUGUAUUUUCCUAAUAGAAUGGGUGUUAAGCACCUCUUACACCAGAAUUUUAUGUGGCUAUCAAAUUAUAAAAAGUAUCAUGAAAAAUAAUAAAUAAUAAAAGGUUGAAGCUGGUAUCAUUCAUAUAGAACCUGUCUCAAUUAAUUACAAGUUAUUUUAAAUAUUUAAAAUCAAAAUAUUGUCCUAAUCAACUUUUAAUUUUAUGCACCAGAAAUUUAUGUGGCUAUCAAAUUAUUAAAAGUAUCAUGAAAAAUAAUAAAGAAUAAAAGGUUGAAGCCCGCAUCUUUUUUAUAGGGGUCCAGCUACGUUACCCCAUAAUGGCUUAGAUCUGAUUAUUGGGUUAUGAAUAUUAAAGAUCCUUAUUGUUCAUGAAAAAAAAAAUCAAAAGUUUUGAAAUUAUGACAUAUAAUUUCAUAAUAUUCUUUUUUUUAAACUCUAUUGAACUAGGUUUCCAAUUAAAUGACUUAUUCUUACAUUUAUUAAUAUCUAUUUAAAUUAAUAAAUUUAUUAAUUAAUAAAUCAACUACUUUAUUAUAUAGUUAAACUAUGUAUAUUAUUUACUAACCAUAAUAAAUGAUAAAUAUAAUAUGAUCUUUUUUUUUUAAUUUAACAUAAUGGCAACCAAUUUCCUCUCACCUAUAUGAACAAAGUUCAAAACCCAUAAUUUUCUUUUUCAACACGAGAUUUUAUUAUACAAGUAGAUGAAAUGUACAAAAUACAAAAAUAAAUUUAAUUUCAUAUUCUAUGUAGUUAAUUUUUUUGUAACAUAUUAUUUAUUAAACAUACUAUCAAUUAUUUAAUUAUUUAGUAAAAAUAUGUUAAUUUACUAAUAAUAAUAAAAUGUUAGUUUACGAACUUGUAAAAUCUUUUUUUUAACAAUGAGUUUUGUAUUUUUGUUUGAAUUUUUGUCCUUAAAUAAAAAAUAAAUAAAUUUAAUUGCACACUUAAAUAAAUUGGUAUUUGUUACUCCACUCGAACUGUUUAAAUAGUCAUUAACUUAUCUGAGAGAAAGGUAAAAAAAUUCUAAACAAUUGCUCUAUUUGAAAAUAAUUUAAAUAGUUCUUUAGAAAAAUAAACUAAAAGUAAGUAUUUUCUAUUAUUUCUUCUUUCUUGGUAACAUCACACAUGGAUAAAAAUAGAGAUGGCAAUUCAACACACAUCUAUCAAUUAAAAUAGAAGUCAAUUAAUAUAAUUAGUUGAAUAAUUAAUUGUGUCAUGAAUGAGUUAUCAUAUUAGGAGUUUUAAAACCAAACCCAUUACAAUUAUUAAUCGAGUUAACAGCUAGAAAGAGCAAACAAAUUCAUUCAAGUUGGAUAUCUAAGUAUCUUAUCUAAAUAGAUUGUAUAAUAUCCAUCUAAAAUACUCCGGAUUUGAUUUAUUUAAUAUCCAUCAAUUAACUUGAAUAUUAGUAAUAUUUAAGUGUAUGAGACUAAAAUUGAGUAUUAUAUUUAAUAUUUAAGUUUUGUAAAUCAAAAUAAUAUUGCUAAAAAUUAUUGCACCAUCAAUGACAAUAAUGAUGGUAUCAUCAUUAAGAAAUAGAAGUGAGUGAAUAGAAAAACAAAAACUAUCAACGUAUUUAAAAUUCUCCGAUCAAUGUAAAGGUGGCAAUGUUGCCGGAUAAAUAGAUAUGUCGGUGAUAGAUGAGCCUUCCAAUGCAAACAACUAUAAAAAGACCCUAUGAUUAGAUGACGUUUUGAUGUAGGGCAGAAGCGAUACUAAAUUUCAUUCUAACGUACAUCUUGAAAACUCAAGAAAGAGGCUCUCACUAAAGAGAAGAUAUCUCAAUUGAGAAAAAACUGAAUAUUAUUAAUGAGAAGCUUGUGUCUGUUAUCAUAAAUUAAGAAUAACAAGCCUAUAUAUAUAAUAGUAGUUAACUUAAUCCUAAUCUUUGUCAAAUAAGAGAAAUAAUCUAAAAUGCUAAUUAGAUUAGAAUUACAAAUAUAACUCAAGUAAGCUUAAUAAAAUAAGAUAAAUUCUAAUAAAAUACUAAAUUCUAAAUUGACCCAAAUAUUAUAAUUCCUAGUAAAUUCUAAUUUAUUCAUUUUUUUUUAUAAAUUUGUUUGGUUUUUGGGUUUUUUUUAAAGAACAGAAAAUUAUAGGUAAUAGCAUAAGUAUAGAAAAGUAAUAGUAUAAGGCCAACAACAGAAGAAGGGGAAGGUUUGGCGUGAACGAUGACGAGUUUGAAAGGAGGAUUGACAGUCGAAUUUGCGAAGAAAUGAACGAGCGUCCAUUGAAGCGCGUAGGUGCCGUGCUCGCUAUCGUCGAUCCCUACCACCAUCGUUUGUGUCUCAGCCGUCGCCAUUGAGACGAUGACGACACAACCUUUUUUUUUAAUUUUUUCCCUUUUUUGCUGUGUGUUAUUUAGAAAGCUGCAGAGUUUGUUCGAUUUCGAAUCUAUAUAAGCGAACAAAUCUAAGAGACAGCGAAAUGAUCAUACUUUUUAUCUAGAUAAGAUGAGAACGUAGCAAGUAAAGGAAGUUGCGGGCGAUUGGCGGAAAGUGCUUUAAGAAGUCUGGAGUUUAAUUUUGAAAAGUUAAAAAAAAUUAAUUUUAGUAUUUAUUUUUUAGGGUUAUAAAUUAAUUUUAAAAUAUUAAAAAUUAUUUUUAAUAUCCGGCAAAUUACUUUAAAAAUUAUUUUUAGAAAAAUCAGUUUAUUUUAGAGCAUCUCCAAAAGAUUUUUCAAAUAAAAUUAUACUUCUUAUUUGAUGAGUCAUAUCAAUAUUAAACACUCUAAAAGAUAUGUUAAUUUAGAUUCUUCAAAUAAGAUUUGUUUCUCACUCUUCAAUAUUACCGAGUGAGUUUCUCCCUCUUCUAUUAAUAUUUUAUUAUUAAUUAUUGAAAAGAUAAGACUACAAUAAUUAUUAUUUAUGUUUCCUUUAAAAAACAUAACAACAAUUCAAUUUAAUAGUGGAAAUAUUUUAUUAAAAUAAUGUUAACUUAUUAUUAUUUGAUGAGUCUUUUGGAGAAGAUUGUAUUUUUCCAUCCACUUAUUUCCCACAUCAGUAAGCAAAUUGAUAUUUGAAGAGUAAAAUCUAAAAAGUCUUUUGGAGAUGCUCAUAGUAGNNNNNNNNNNNNNNNNNNNNNNNNNNNNNNNNNNNNNNNNNNNNNNNNNNNNNNNNNNNNNNNNNNNNNNNNNNNNNNNNNNNNNNNNNNNNNNNNNNNNUUUUAAAAUCUAAUUUUGAGAAUUAAUUUUAUAUCUAAUAGUUCCAUAUAUUAAAAAAAUUAAAAUUAAUCUUAUUAAUUAAAAAAUAAAAUCAUUAAAUUUAAAGAUAUUAUUAUUAUUUAAAAUACAAUCAAAAGUUUUGAAAUUUUGACAUAUAAGUCCAUAAUAUUUUUUUUUUUUUAACUCUAUUGAACUAGGUUUCCAAUUAAAUGACUUAUUCUUACAUUUAUUAAUAUCUAUUUAAAUUAAUAAAUUUAUUAAUUAAUAAAUUAACUACUUUAUUAUAUAGUUAAACUAUGUAUAUUAUUUGCUAACCAUAAUUAAUGAUAAGUAUAAUAUGAUUUUUUUUUUAAUUUAACAUAAUGGUAACCAAUUUCCUCUCACCUAUGUGAACAAGAUUCAAAACCCAUAAUUUUCUUUUUCAACACAAGAGAUUUUAUUAUCUCAAGUAGAUGAAAUGUACAAAAUACAAAAAUAAAUUUAAUUUCAUAUUCUAUGUAGUUAAUUUUUUUUUGUAACAUAAUAUUUAUUAAACAUACUAUCAAUUAUUUAAUUAAUAAGAUUAUUUUUAGAAAAAUUUGUUUAUUUUAUAGUAGAUUUUGAGAAGUAUGAAAUGAGUAAUUUUUUAAAAUCUAAUUUUGAGAGUUAAUUUUAUAUCUAAUAGUUCCAUUUAUUAAAAACAUUUAAAAUUAAUCUUAUUAAUUAAAAAAUAAAAUCAUUAAAUUUAAAGAUAUUAUUAUUAUUGCUAUUUAUAUUGUGAUAACAAAAUAAAAAAAAUAAAAAAAUAAAAUAUUUUUUUAAUUAUCAAUUAUUUUCUAUACACAUAAAAAAUAUUUUAUAAAUGUGUGAAUAAAUUUUACUUAACAUUAUAUUGAAUUCAAUUAUUUGUAUGCUUACAAUAGUUUAAUAAGUAAAAUUUACUAAAUACAUAAUACUAUUUUUAAAACUCAUAACAUUUUUUAAAAAUAAAAUUUACCAAAUACUUAAUUAAUUCUUUUCGUAAUUGAUUAUUUCUAGAUUAUAGUAAUCAUUUAAAAGCUUAUUAUUUACCAAAUUAGUCCUAAAAUUCAAACGUUCAUUGGAUGUUUACGUAAUUUUGCUAUCAACUAGGCAACAUUUUAUUGUAAUUUUACAAUCCAGCCCAUACUAACAUGGGCCAGGCCGAGUUCGAGAAAUCGAACCUACUAACCUACAGCCAAUAAUAUUUAUUACCACGUUGAUUAGGGUAAAAAAAAAAAAAAAAAUUGUUCCCAGCUGUUGGUCAGCAUUGCAUUUUUGAGUUUUCUUUCUUUUUUAUUUUAUUUUAUUUACAAGGAUCAGCUUUCCCGAGUGUUAAUUUGCCAAAUAGGGGUGUUCGUGGAUCGAAUUUUACGGAUUAGAUAUCAAUCCAUAUCCGAUCCAUAAUUUUAUAGAUUAUAAAUUUUCAAUCCAAUUAAAUCCACGGAUUGGUGAAACUCAAUCCAUAUAUUUGUGGAUCGAAUAUGUAUUUAACCUAAUUCACAUCCAAGCCAUCAUUUUACAAAUUGAUUUAUGAAAUUUUAAUUUUUAAUUUUGUCCAAUCUAUGAAGUAAUUAAAUUAAAAAAAUCUAAUAUAAAACAAUUUUACUACUAAUUAAAUUCAAAAUUGAAUAAAAUUUAAAGAAAUUAAUUGUUUAAAUAAAGAUAGAAUAAUACAUUCAAUGUUUCAAUAACAUGUCGAAAAGAAUAACAUGCUACAAUCUCAUUUGUUUAUAUCAAUACGUGAAAUUUAACUAAAAUUAUGAAUUUAAAUAUAUACAAAAGUUGAAACUUGAGACCUUAGAUGUAACAAGAAAAAAAUUAAGAAAUUUGAAGAGCUUGAAAAUAAAGUAAGAAAUUAUAAGUACCUCAAUUGCUGAAGUGAAACAGCGAUGGCUUGUGCGUGCAACUGGGUGAGGUUUGGUAGUAUGUGCUAAUUAAAUGUUUUGUUUGGCUUAGGGUUUUUUUUUUUGUUCUGGUUAAGAAUUUUUAAUAUUUAGGAAGUUAUAUUUGCUUAUUUUUUAAUUAACUAUUCAAAUAUUUAAUUAUUUUUUAAUUUAUAUAUAACAUGGUGUUAAUUUAAUUAUAUUUUAACUUAUCAUUUAUUCGUAAGUACCAAUGCUACAUUUGCAAGUUUUAUUUUUUAAUCAAAUAAAUAUUUUUUAUUUUUGUAGAAUCACGGAUUUAUAGAAGUAAAUCUAUAUUCAAUUAACCGACUGUAGAUUUUCAAAAUUUUCAAUCCAAUCCAAUCCGCCAAUCCACAAAUUGGAUUUUUACAGAUUAGAUGGAUUAAGCGGAUCGAAUUAGAUUCUGAACACCUCUACUGCCACCAAUUAGGUGUCAAAAUAAUUGAAAUAAAAACGUCUUUGUUUUCGUAUUUUAUAUAUUUAUUUCUUUUAUAAGUACAUGUGUCUUCAUUUAAUUAGGCUCCAUUUCGGGUGUGGCUACAAUGCCAAGAGGCAAUCUCCAGACAUGAUGCCGAGUUCUGAGAGAGAGAGCCCAACAUUCUUUGGAUGCCAAAUGGCAGUCAAAGACCUAGAACAACUAAUUUCUUUAACUGAUUACUAUAUUUAACUAAUUAUUUAAAUUUUAAAAAUUGAAAUAGGAUAAUAUACUAACUAAAAAAUUUUGAAAAGAUAAUAUUAAUCGAAAGGGAAAAAAAGAUAAAUAAAUAAAAAAAAUGAAAGAAAAAUAAUAUCUUAUCAAAAUCAAGAAAAAAAAGUUUAUAUAAUAAAAGACAUUAAUUUGUUUCUUAUUUUAUAUGUGUUAUCUCAUAUUUGACAUUAAUUUGCUCCUAUGCUGUGCUCGGGGUUAAAUCCUUGUAUGUAUUUUGUAAGUAGGUUUAAUUAGAUUUAAGGGCUUGGAUUCUAUGUAGUCAAAAUACCCGGGACACAUUAAAUAAAACAAGAUGGCUGUAUUGUUCUGAAAUUUCUAGACGCGUUGAAAUUGUGGACCUGCUUACUUGUGAUACAGCUAUCUAGAAUACAACCAGAUAAAUUAAAAGCAAGGAUACUAAAAGGUUUAUUAAUUUAACAAUUAUUAUUUAUCAUUAAAUUAAUAAAUUAUUAAUUCAUGAAUAUGUUUCUUAUUUUAAAAAAUAUGAUCGCGUUCAUAAUAGUUUUUUUUUUUUUCCAGAGAACUGAAAAUAGUAAUUAAUGAGUUGUAUUGUCCUAAUAGAGUGGGUGUUAAGCACCUCUUACACCAGAAUUGUUUGUGUCUAUCAAAUUUUAAAAGUAUCAUGAAAAAUGAUACAGAAUAAAAGGUUGAAUCUAACAUCUUUCCUACAGAACCUGUCUCAAUUAAUUAAAAGUUACUUCAAAUAUUGGCAAACCCUAAGUUUCAUAUAAUGUAACUUACAACCACACACAUGAACAACGCGUGAACCCCACACCACAUAUUAUUUAUGUGUGUGGUUGUAAGUUACAUUACAUGUAAUUUAGAGGGAUCCUUAAAUAUUUAAAAUCAAAAUAUUGUCCUAAUCAACUUUUAAUUUUCAUGCUAUGAUUCAUACUGUGAUUAACAAGGAAAUUCUACAAAGGGGAGGGUAAAGAAACAAGCAAGCGAAGAAACAAGGAGAACAUUAAUGAACAUAAAACAUUACUAUGAAACAUUUGAAGCAUAUGAACUUUGAUGAAACGUUUAGAUGUUUACAUAAAUAUAAGUUAAAUUAUGAUAUUUGAUGACAGCCCAUUUUCAACCGCAAUUGUAAAAUGCAAGAUACAAUAGAUAUCAUACAGUAUCCAACUGAUUCAUACCAUCUUAUUAUGUGUUUACUAAUCAUGAAGCAGAGUAACUGCAGCUUAGUGCUUGGUUUUAGGCCUCUUCACUAUCAUCACCGUGCAGUGAGCAUGAUGAGCACAAUAAUCACUUACACUGCCCAAAACCGCCCUGCAAAAGAAUCGAUCUCGGUUACAAGUCAUCAGAAUCCCCAACAGGAAAUAAAUGAAACCUACUAACCCUCUCAUUCAACAAAAUUUGUAAACCCAUAAUACGUAUGACAUUCCCAGCGAAAGAACACUGAAAUAGAAACCGAUCAAUUUUAUUUUUUUUUCAAAGGUAGAGGAGAAGGCAAAUCCCAAAUUAAAUUUUUAGCAUCAAUUUGCAUUUGGGUGGCCAGUCAGAGAAAAGCGUUUUACUACAUCUCA
This 14973-nucleotide long non-coding RNA is filed under the name Citrus x clementina. RNAcentral's name for it is "Citrus clementina (C. clementina) long non-coding RNA (CCLE_LNC000903)". The record is from RNAcentral. Lineage: Eukaryota; Viridiplantae; Streptophyta; Magnoliopsida; Sapindales; Rutaceae.